This 465-nucleotide ribosomal RNA is filed under the name uncultured bacterium. RNAcentral's name for it is "bacterial SSU rRNA". It matches the Rfam family "Bacterial small subunit ribosomal RNA", at positions 355 to 823 of the family's 1533-position model. The record is from RNAcentral.
UAGGGAAUAUUGGACAAUGGGUGAGAGCCUGAUCCAGCCAUGCCGCGUGCAGGAAGAAGGCGUUAUGCGUUGUAAACUGCUUUUUGCCAGGGGAUAAAAAGACCGUGCGCGGUUAAUUGAAGGUACCUGGUGAAUAAGCCACGGCUAACUACGUGCCAGCAGCCGCGGUAAUACGUAGGUGGCAAGCGUUGUCCGGAUUUAUUGGGUUUAAAGGGUGCGUAGGUGGCCCUGUAAGUCAGUGGUGAAAUAUCUCAGCUUAACUGAGAGGGUGCCAUUGAUACUGCAGGGCUUGAGUACAGAUGAGGUAGGCGGAAUUGACGGUGUAGCGGUGAAAUGCAUAGAUAUCGUCAAGAACACCGAUAGCGAAGGCAGCUUACCAAGCUGUAACUGACACUGAGGCACGAAAGUGUGGGGAUCAAACAGGAUUAGAUACCCCCGUAGUCCCUGAGCGGGCUGGCAAGGCGC